Molecule: long non-coding RNA, 255 nt
Filed under: Numida meleagris (helmeted guineafowl)
Lineage: Eukaryota; Metazoa; Chordata; Aves; Galliformes; Numididae
Description: lncRNA (ENSNMEG00000010889.1)
Source: RNAcentral
AAAAUGUUUAAAACUCAAUUUUACCCAAGGCAGAUGUGCUAAACUAACCUAAUAUUUUAUUACAUUGUCUACUAGGUUUAUUUUAUCUGUCUCCUCUGUUUUACCUUGGGGUUCAGCAUCUGUACAGGACCUGUAAGGCAGUUGCUGUUAUUCCUGUCACUGCCAUGUAGCCUGCUAUAUAUGGAAAUUUGAAGAUGAAGCAGUGCCACCAGUUCAUGCCUCUGCAACCAGUACAUCAGAAAAUGUAAAAACAGC